This 521-nucleotide long non-coding RNA is filed under the name Elaeis guineensis (African oil palm). RNAcentral's name for it is "long non-coding RNA (EGUI_LNC031721)". Lineage: Eukaryota; Viridiplantae; Streptophyta; Magnoliopsida; Arecales; Arecaceae. The record is from RNAcentral.
AGGUGUUGGAAAAUAUAUCCUAAAAUCAAUCAUUUAGAUGAUUAUGCUCAUUCUAUAAUAUAUAUAUAAAUUAUUAAUUAAUAAAUAAAAAUUAUUUUGAUAUCAUUCAUCAUAAAGUUACAUCUUCCUUGCUAGAACUCGUGUUGUGAUGAAGUCCUUAAAACUAUGAAGUAAUCGAUAAAAGAGGAUUUAUUAUAUAGUUCUUAAAUAUAUUCACGAUCAAAUAAUAUGUCAUUAAAGGAUGAUGAUGUUUAUCGAGUGAAGAUCAUUAUGUACCAUAUGGGUUGGUUGUCCUCUUAACUAAGGAGUGUGGAGACACUGGUAUGGCAUACAGAUGACAUAUAGGAGUAUAUCGUCACUGAACAAGUGACUCACCUGCUAAGCACUCUAUUGUCAAGAAAAGCUCACAAAAUAUAUGGAGAUAAGUAUCCCUCAGACCUGAGAUCACUAUAGUGACUUGUAAGCAACUUACUGUACUUUGGUACUGGACUAUCUACAAUUUUAAUGCAGUGAUAGAAGGC